AGCUGGGAGAGCAUCUGCCUUACAAGCAGAGGGUCAGCGGUUCGAUCCCGUUAGCCCCCA
Molecule: transfer RNA, 60 nt
Filed under: Paenilisteria weihenstephanensis FSL R9-0317
Lineage: Bacteria; Bacillati; Bacillota; Bacilli; Caryophanales; Listeriaceae
Description: Listeria weihenstephanensis FSL R9-0317 tRNA-OTHER
Rfam family: tRNA
About the family: Transfer RNA (tRNA) molecules are approximately 80 nucleotides in length. Their secondary structure includes four short double-helical elements and three loops (D, anti-codon, and T loops). Further hydrogen bonds mediate the characteristic L-shaped molecular structure. tRNAs have two regions of fundamental functional importance: the anti-codon, which is responsible for specific mRNA codon recognition, and the 3' end, to which the tRNAs corresponding amino acid is attached (by aminoacyl-tRNA synthetases). tRNAs cope with the degeneracy of the genetic code in two manners: having more than one tRNA (with a specific anti-codon) for a particular amino acid; and 'wobble' base-pairing, i.e. permitting non-standard base-pairing at the 3rd anti-codon position.
Source: RNAcentral